AGAGUUUGAUCCUGGCUCAGAACGAACGCUGGCGGCAGGCUUAACACAUGCAAGUCGAACGCAUCCUUCGGGGUGAGUGGCAGACGGGUGAGUAACGCGUGGGAACGUGCCCUUCAGUUCGGAAUAACCCAGGGAAACUUGGGCUAAUACCGGAUACGUGCGAGAGCAGAAAGAUUUAUCGCUGAAGGAUCGGCCCGCGUCUGAUUAGCUAGUUGGUGAGGUAAUGGCUCACCAAGGCGACGAUCAGUAGCUGGUCUGAGAGGAUGAUCAGCCACAUUGGGACUGAGACACGGCCCAAACUCCUACGGGAGGCAGCAGUGGGGAAUAUUGGACAAUGGGCGCAAGCCUGAUCCAGCCAUGCCGCGUGAGUGAUGAAGGCCUUAGGGUUGUAAAGCUCUUUCGUCCGGGACGAUAAUGACGGUACCGGAAGAAGAAGCCCCGGCUAACUUCGUGCCAGCAGCCGCGGUAAUACGAAGGGGGCUAGCGUUGUUCGGAAUCACUGGGCGUAAAGGGCGCGUAGGCGGCUUGAUAAGUCGGGGGUGAAAGCCUGUGGCUCAACCACAGAAUUGCCUUCGAUACUGUCUGGCUUGAGACCGGAAGAGGUAAGUGGAACUGCGAGUGUAGAGGUGAAAUUCGUAGAUAUUCGCAAGAACACCAGUGGCGAAGGCGGCUUACUGGUCCGGUUCUGAGCUGANNNNCGAAAGCGUGGGGAGCAAACAGGAUUAGAUACCCUAGUAGUCC
RNAcentral lists this ribosomal RNA (741 nucleotides) under uncultured bacterium. Its description in RNAcentral is "bacterial SSU rRNA". It matches the Rfam family "Bacterial small subunit ribosomal RNA", at positions 8 to 796 of the family's 1533-position model. The record is from RNAcentral.